This 609-nucleotide ribosomal RNA is filed under the name uncultured fungus. Its description in RNAcentral is "SSU rRNA". It matches the Rfam family "Eukaryotic small subunit ribosomal RNA", at positions 431 to 1044 of the family's 1831-position model. Lineage: Eukaryota; Fungi. The record is from RNAcentral.
GGCGCGCAAAUUACCCAAUCCCGACACGGGGAGGUAGUGACAAUAAAUACUGAUACAGGGCUCUUUUGGGUCUUGUAAUUGGAAUGAGUACAAUUUAAAUCCCUUAACGAGGAACAAUUGGAGGGCAAGUCUGGUGCCAGCAGCCGCGGUAAUUCCAGCUCCAAUGGCGUAUAUUAAAGUUGUUGCAGUUAAAAAGCUCGUAGUUGAACCUUGGGCCUGGCUGGCCGGUCCGCCUCACCGCGUGCACUGGUCCGGCCGGGUCUUUCCUUCUGAGGAGCCGCAUGCCCUUCACUGGGUGUGUCGGGGAAUCAGGACUUUUACUUUGAAAAAAUUAGAGUGUUCAAAGCAGGCCUAUGCUCGAAUACAUUAGCAUGGAAUAAUAGAAUAGGACGUGUGGUUCUAUUUUGUUGGUUUCUAGGACCGCCGUAAUGAUUAAUAGGGAUAGUCGGGGGCAUCAGUAUUCAAUUGUCAGAGGUGAAAUUCUUGGAUUUAUUGAAGACUAACUACUGCGAAAGCAUUUGCCAAGGAUGUUUUCAUUAAUCAGUGAACGAAAGUUAGGGGAUCGAAGACGAUCAGAUACCGUCGUAGUCUUAACCAUAAACUAUGCCG